Molecule: long non-coding RNA, 349 nt
Organism: Sarcophilus harrisii (Tasmanian devil)
Lineage: Eukaryota; Metazoa; Chordata; Mammalia; Dasyuromorphia; Dasyuridae
Exons: 2
Source: RefSeq, a predicted model, not a curated record
ACCUGGGCUGUGCCCCCCUGCCAUGCAGGUUCGCAACUGCCCCAAGGAAAAGCCCCGGACUGCGGGUUAGGGCUGUGAGCUUGUGCUGCGAUCUGUGCUCUCACUUCCGGUUUGGGGCUCCACUGCCUCUAGUUCUCUCCUGCCUGCGCUGAUCUUCUCCCCGGCCCCUGAGGGGAAGAGAUUUUUUUCUGGAAGAGAUUCCAGAUUAUUUUCGGCUGGAACUGUACUCCAAACUCCAAAAGUGGCAGACAAACAGGACAGAAGGUGGACAGAGCUUCCGUGUAAGAGUGCUCUCUUUAGAUGCAUGAAUAUUCAGGUAAAGCAGGAAUUAAAUAAUAAAAAGUAAGGA